Rhipicephalus sanguineus (brown dog tick) is the source of this 326-nucleotide long non-coding RNA. RefSeq lists it as uncharacterized. The record is from RefSeq and is a predicted model, not a curated record. Lineage: Eukaryota; Metazoa; Arthropoda; Arachnida; Ixodida; Ixodidae. The transcript has 3 exons.
AUAGCAGAUUGCCCAGGAUUAUACGGACUUCUACGCCAGAUUUCCAAACGGAGAAUACAUCAUGAAAGCCCUCCUAGGAAAAAGACUUGCUGUGACCCUCGCUGCCAUGAUAGCGGCCAUGAUUUUGGGCCCCACCGAAAUUGAGGGGAGCGCUCUAGCGAGGAGGGUCUUGGGGAGGAACGAAGACGAGCCCACUCAAUAAUUCUCCAGCACAUUGCACUUCACCUCGCCGCUGAGCGACAACAAGGGGUUCAUCCUGCAAUGCAAUGUGAAUAUAACUGUCAAAUAAACACGUUUUUCAAGCAGCGUUGUCUUCGCGAGCAGCG